GAUGAAGAACGUAGUGAAAUGCGAUAAGUAAUGUGAAUUGCAGAAUUCAGUGAAUCAUCGAAUCUUUGAACGCAUCUUGCGCUCCUUGGUAUUCCUUGGAGCAUGUCUGUUUGAGUAUCAUGAGCAAAUCUCAAAGUCAAUUCCUUUUGUUGAUUCAAUUGGUUUUGCUUUGGACUUGGAGGCCUUGCAGAUUUCACAGUCUGCUCCUCUUAAAUGCAUUAGCUGGAUCUCAGUAAUUAUGCUUGGUUCCACUCGGCGUGAUAAGUAUCACUCGCUGAGGACACUGUUAAAAAGGUGGCCAGGAAAAUACUGAUUGAACCGCUUCUAACGGUCUAUUAAGUUAGACAAUUACCCUUAAGUUUGAUCUCAAAUCAGGUAGGACUACCCGCUGAACUUAAGCAUAUCAAUAAGCGGAGGA
This 418-nucleotide unclassified non-coding RNA is filed under the name soil metagenome. Its description in RNAcentral is "partial contains 5.8S ribosomal RNA, internal transcribed spacer 2, and large subunit ribosomal RNA". The stretch from base 1 to 120 matches the Rfam family "5.8S ribosomal RNA", at positions 35 to 154 of the family's 154-position model. The record is from RNAcentral.